This 68-nucleotide transfer RNA is filed under the name Chlamyphorus truncatus (Pink fairy armadillo). Its description in RNAcentral is "tRNA-Thr". The record is from RNAcentral. Lineage: Eukaryota; Metazoa; Chordata; Mammalia; Cingulata; Chlamyphoridae.
GUCCCAGUAGUAUAACUAUUACCCUGGUCUUGUAAACCAUAGAUGAGGCAAAUACGCCUCCUAGGACA